Molecule: ribosomal RNA, 460 nt
Filed under: uncultured bacterium
Lineage: Bacteria
Description: partial 16S ribosomal RNA
Rfam family: Bacterial small subunit ribosomal RNA
Source: RNAcentral
CCUACGGGGGGCAGCAGUGAGGAAUAUUGGUCAAUGGGCGGAAGCCUGAACCAGCCAAGUCGCGUGAGGGAAUAAGGCCCUACGGGUCGUAAACCUCUUUAGGCGGGGAGCAAUGCCGGGCACGCGUGCCCGGAGGGAGAGUACCAGCAGAAUAAGCAUCGGCUAACUCCGCGCCAGCAGCCGCGGUAAUACGGGGGAUGCGAGCGUUAGCCGGAUGUCUUGGGGUUAAAGGGUGCGUAGGCGGAGUUUUAAGUCGGCGGUAAAAUGUCCGGGCUCAACCCGGGCCGGCCGUUGAAACUGGGGAUCUUGAGUGGGCGAGAAGUAUGCGGAAUGCGUGGUGUAGCGGUGAAAUGCAUAGAUAUCACGCAGAACUCCGAUUGCGAAGGCAGCAUACCGGCGCCCUACUGACGCUGAGGCACGAAAGCGUGGGUAUCGAACAGGAUUAGAUACCCCUGUAGUC